Drosophila miranda is the source of this 591-nucleotide long non-coding RNA. RefSeq lists it as uncharacterized. Lineage: Eukaryota; Metazoa; Arthropoda; Insecta; Diptera; Drosophilidae. The record is from RefSeq and is a predicted model, not a curated record. The transcript is spliced from 3 exons.
UUCGGGCUGUCAAGUUCUGGGUUUGGGGCUCAGCCAGAAAUGUUUCAGUUACGUCGAGUAGUUCUCCGAGAGAACACGUAGUAUACAAAUUUUGUGUGUGUAGAACAAAAAAACCAAAUGGAUUAGACGCCACGCUGCAACGAGGUUGGAUGUGCAAUACGGUCAGGUGGAAGGUUGAACUAGACGUCCCGCAGAGCCCUUGCAUGUAACCUCCACUUCACAACCACCAUCGAAGAUAUCCCGGCCAUCAAUUUGCCAAAAGUGCUCAAAGCCAACUCUUCGGGAGUUCUUUAAAGUGAGAUCUCUGCCCUUCUCAAGGAUCUUGCCACACCAAGUGCAAUGCGGGUCGCCUCAGAUACUUUACGCCUGCGUUGUAGCAUCCUAAAAUUUUAGUGAAACUUUUACGUAGACUAUAUACGGAUAGAAUCGAUGCGGACUCGGAAAUGUACUUGGACCAUUCUUUGACGCUGAUUUAGAUUUGGUAUGUGGAGUAGGCCUACUAGAACUCUACUUUUAUGGUGGUGCGGAAAAGUGUUUAUUACACUUCCAAGCAUAACCAUAUAAAUAAAGAGAUUUUUGUCUACCAAAAAA